Camellia sinensis is the source of this 531-nucleotide long non-coding RNA. RefSeq lists it as uncharacterized. NCBI's taxonomy places the organism in Eukaryota, Viridiplantae, Streptophyta, Magnoliopsida, Ericales, Theaceae. The record is from RefSeq and is a predicted model, not a curated record.
UGUUCUGUCUCUCUCACACACACGAUAUACACUAUUCUGUCUCAAACACUUUUUGCUCUCACCAAACCUCACCCCCUCUUACCACCGACGCUUGCCACCAGCGCACAUCGCCACCUGCAAAUCACCAGCGUCACUUACUCACAGGUAGUGCUGAGGUGUGUUGGAGGCUGCUCUAUUUCGUGAGAGCUUGAAGGACAUCAAGAGGGCCAGGCUACCAAUAUGCGCUAGCCCUUUUAGAUGUUCUCAAAUAGGAUUGUUGGUGUCUUUAUUAUAUUGAAUUUGUACAAAUCCGUGUUUGCUAUCUGUCUGCUGCAAUGCAAUAUCUUGCUGCUCUGCUGAUCUGUCUAUUGAUAUUUUGUACCAUGCCAACAUUUGGCAUAGUAGUAAAUAUAUUUGUGUACACAGAGGAUGAAAUUUCCCUAUGAUCAUUUAUGUUAUGCAUGGAAUUAUUAUUUUAAAUUGGAAUGUAUUUGAUUUGUAUGGAAUUAUUGACAUUUGAAGGUAUUAAUUUUUAGAUGGUUAGAAGUGAAA